This 497-nucleotide ribosomal RNA is filed under the name uncultured bacterium. Its description in RNAcentral is "partial 16S ribosomal RNA". It matches the Rfam family "Bacterial small subunit ribosomal RNA", at positions 28 to 507 of the family's 1533-position model. The record is from RNAcentral.
GAUGAACGCUGGCGGCGUGCCUAAUACAUGCAAGUCGAGCGAACGGACGAGAAGCUUGCUUCUCUGAUGUUAGCGGCGGACGGGUGAGUAACACGUGGAUAACCUACCUAUAAGACUGGGAUAACUUCGGGAAACCGGAGCUAAUACCGGAUAAUAUUUUGAACCGCAUGGUUCAAAAGUGAAAGACGGUCUUGCUGUCACUUAUAGAUGGAUCCGCGCUGCAUUAGCUAGUUGGUAAGGUAACGGCUUACCAAGGCAACGAUGCAUAGCCGACCUGAGAGGGGGAUCGGCCGCACUGGAACUGAGACGCGGUCCAGGCUCCUAAGGGAGGCAGCAGUAGGGAAUGUUCCGCAAUGGGCGGGAGCCUGACGGAGCAACGGCGCGUGAGUGGUGAAGGUCUUCGGAUCGUAAAACUCUGUUAUUAGGGAAGAACAUAUUUGUAAGUAACUGUGCACAUCUUGACGGUACCUAAUCAGAAAGCCACGGCUAACUACGUG